GCCUGUCUAUUUAUGUUCCUCUUGAGUCAUCCUCCUCUUACAAAAGCACCAAUUAGAGAGCACCUCUGUCAUUUUUAUGCUUUGCUUUUAACUGUGUUGAGUAUGACUAUCACUGGAUCUUCAUUGCCAUGAAUUACAAUGUUUAGUCAGCCCUUGGUCUUUGAAGGUGCUCUGCAUUUAUGUUUUGCGGUCUCAGGAAGAGCUAGCGAGAUAC
RNAcentral lists this long non-coding RNA (214 nucleotides) under Hordeum vulgare. Its description in RNAcentral is "long non-coding RNA (HVUL_LNC016549)". Lineage: Eukaryota; Viridiplantae; Streptophyta; Magnoliopsida; Poales; Poaceae. The record is from RNAcentral.